Molecule: small RNA, 467 nt
Filed under: Pan troglodytes (chimpanzee)
Lineage: Eukaryota; Metazoa; Chordata; Mammalia; Primates; Hominidae
Description: processed transcript
Source: RNAcentral
CCCACACCCACUGGCCAGACACCCCACAGUGAGGGGGCUCAGAAGACAAACUGGGGGCUUGGCUGGGGACUGAGCUGACUGCUGCCCACGCCCCAGGCUCUGGUCCUAGGGGUCCUUUUCAGUCUAGAGGGUGAGGCAGGAGGCCCAGGUUGGGGCAGUUCCAUGCGAGUCCCUUCCUGUGGCCCCACAGAUUCGUCCAGUCCAGCCAGUUGGCCAAUCAUAUUCGCCACCACGACAACAUCCGCCCACACAAGUGCAGCGUGUGCAGCAAGGCCUUCGUGAACGUGGGGGACCUGUCCAAGCACAUCAUCAUUCACACUGAGCUUCCAGAGGUGCCAGUGUCACCAGAGGCACCCAUGCAGCCACCCCAGAGCACCUCCUGCUGUAAAAGACAGGGUUGCUGGGCAAACGAGUCAUUGAGGGCCUCCCACCCCAUCCCUGCGGCCCCUUCCCACAAAGGCAAGAGA